AUUGAACGCUGGCGGCAGGCCUAACACAUGCAAGUCGAGCGAGCGGCGGACGGGUGAGUAAUGUCUGGGAAACUGCCUGAUGGAGGGGGAUAACUACUGGAAACGGUAGCUAAUACCGCAUACCAUCAGAUGUGCCCAGAUGGGAUUCGCUAGUAGGUGGGGUAACGGCUCACCGAGGCGACGAUCCCUAGCUGGUCUGAGAGGAUGACCAGCCACAGUGGAACUGAGACACGGUCCAGGCUCCUACGGGAGGCAGCGGUAGGGAAUAUUGCACAAUGGGCGCAAGCCAGAUUCAGCCAUGCCGCAUGUGUGAAGAAGGCCUUCGGGUUGUAAAGCACUUUCAGCGAGGAGGCGUUACUCGCAGAAGAAGCACCGGCUAACUCCGUGCCAGCGGCCGCGGUAAUUC
This 406-nucleotide ribosomal RNA is filed under the name uncultured bacterium. RNAcentral describes it as "partial 16S ribosomal RNA". It matches the Rfam family "Bacterial small subunit ribosomal RNA", at positions 30 to 526 of the family's 1533-position model. The record is from RNAcentral.